This 73-nucleotide transfer RNA is filed under the name Ailuropoda melanoleuca (giant panda). It matches the Rfam family "tRNA". Rfam says of the family: Transfer RNA (tRNA) molecules are approximately 80 nucleotides in length. Lineage: Eukaryota; Metazoa; Chordata; Mammalia; Carnivora; Ursidae. The record is from Rfam by way of RNAcentral.
GCCUGCCUGGCUUAGUCAGUGGAGCAUGUGACUCUUGAUCUCGGGGUUGUGGGUUUGAGUCCCACGUUAAGCG